Molecule: ribosomal RNA, 525 nt
Filed under: uncultured eukaryote
Lineage: Eukaryota
Description: bacterial SSU rRNA
Rfam family: Eukaryotic small subunit ribosomal RNA
Source: RNAcentral
GUAAUUCUAGAGCUAAUACAUGCGUCGAGUCCUGACUCUCUGAGGAGGGAUGUAUUUAUUAGAUAAAAACCAACGCCGCAAGGGCUGGUCGGUGAUUCCUAGUAACUAGUCGGAUCGCAUGGCCUCGUGCCGGCGACAGAUCAUUCAAAAUUCUGCCCUAUCAGCUUUCGACGGUAGUGUAGUGGACUACCGUGGCAUUAACGGGUGACGGAGAAUUAGGGUUCGAUUCCGGAGAGGGAGCCUGAGAAAUGGCUACCACAUCCAAGGAAGGCAGCAGGCGCGCAAAUUACCCAAUCCUAACACAGGGGAGGUAGUGACAAGAAAUAACAAUACCGGGCCUUUACAGGUCUGGUAAUUGGAAUGAGUACAAUUUAAAUCCCUUUUCACAAGGAUCGAUUGGAGGGCGAAGUCUGGUGCCAGCAGCCGCGGUAAUUCCAGCUCCAAAAGCGUAUAUUAAAGUUAGUUGCAGUUAAAAGACUCGUAGUUGGAUUUCUGGCACGGUGCGCCUGGUCCGCGCCGCCCUCG